Molecule: long non-coding RNA, 201 nt
Filed under: Helianthus annuus (common sunflower)
Lineage: Eukaryota; Viridiplantae; Streptophyta; Magnoliopsida; Asterales; Asteraceae
Description: sRNA HanXRQr2_Chr06g0272171
Source: RNAcentral
UCAUUUCCCCAAAAUAAAUAUCAUUUCCUUACUUUCAUGGUCAUCUUGUUUCUGUGGCAAGAUUAGAAUUUUUUAGCAAAACUGAUUGCAGAAGAUGAAUAUAGGAAGGAUUUCGUGACCAUGUAGAAGAAAUCGGUUAUCUCAGUCAGUCUCGUGAUCAUCACCAAAGGUAACACAAUGUGAAAGCCAAUUAGAAGCCAG